Molecule: ribosomal RNA, 433 nt
Filed under: uncultured bacterium
Lineage: Bacteria
Description: partial 16S ribosomal RNA
Rfam family: Bacterial small subunit ribosomal RNA
Source: RNAcentral
AACGAACGCUGGCGGCAUGCCUAACACAUGCCAGUCGAACGAGACCUUCGGGUCUAGUGGCGCACGGGUGCGUAACGCGUGGGAACCUGCCCUUAGGUUCGGAAUAACUCCCCGAAAGGGGUGCUAAUACCGGAUAAUGUCUUCGGACCAAAGAUUUAUCGCCUUUGGAUGGGCCCGCGUUGGAUUAGCUAGUUGGUAGGGUAAAAGCCUACCAAGGCGACGAUCCAUAGCUGGUUUGAGAGAAUGAUCAGCCACACUGGGACUGAGACACGGCCCAGACUCCUACGGGAGGGAGCAGUGGGGAAUAGUGGACAAUGGGCGGAAGCCUGAUCCAGCAAUGCCGCGUGAGUGAUGAAGGCCUUAGGGUUGUAAAGCUCUUUUACCCGGGAUGAUAAUGACAGUACCGGGAGAAUAAGCCCCGGCUAACUACGUG